Molecule: long non-coding RNA, 429 nt
Filed under: Gallus gallus (chicken)
Lineage: Eukaryota; Metazoa; Chordata; Aves; Galliformes; Phasianidae
Description: long non-coding RNA NONGGAT008585
Source: RNAcentral
CCUGAACAGAACUGGAGUGGAAAACAUGUAUUGGAAAAUGUAGGAUGAAGCUUUUGUGUAAACCGGAUUGCUGGCUGUUGAUAUUCUGCACCUGCAGUCACCAUGCUGUAGGCAGGUGGAAUGAGCGUGGAUUGCCUCUGCAGAAUCUGCAGUAUGGUUUGGAUAUCAGCAGUCAUCUGGGAUUCAAGCCUAGAGAAGUAACAAAAUCAGUGAAUGUGUGGUCAGGACUGGGUGUAUUUUAACAUACUGAUUACAGAUGUAUUCAGGAGGAACUUGUAGCUUAUUAAUAAAGCAAGCUCUUUCUUGUUGUGACAUAAGCAUGCCUUAAGUAGGAAAGAACAGAAGAGGGAGUACUGAGCCUUUCCAAAGCAUGCUAGCUCUCCCUUUCCUUUACGGAUCAUACUUGCCAGCUUGCUUCUGAUCUUUUUG